Molecule: unclassified non-coding RNA, 336 nt
Filed under: Hevea brasiliensis (rubber tree)
Lineage: Eukaryota; Viridiplantae; Streptophyta; Magnoliopsida; Malpighiales; Euphorbiaceae
Source: RNAcentral
CUCCCAAGCUUAGGGGGGAACCUUUCGACAGUCAUAGCUACGGCAACACAGGCAACAAGAAGGCGGCCAUUGCCUGAGGUCAGCUUCGCCCCUAACUCCCUAGUUGUGAAUGGGUAAUGGGUUAAGGCGGAUAGGUUCCGAAAAACCGUCCGUCCCAUACAGCGGAGAACUGCCUCGGGCGCCCCGCACGAGACCGGGCGAAUUAUAGGGAAGGUGGGAUCUAUCUCUAUCUUUAUGCUCGGCUCGGUCCCCAAGCAGCGUGAACUAUGAAAUCUGUAACUUUGCUUAACACUCAUUAAAGAGCAAUAUAAAUUUCUGAGUCAUAUACAGGUCAGA